GGGUAUAUAGCUCAGUGGUACAGCACAUGCUUAGCAAUUGUGAGGUCCUGGAUUCAAUCCCCAGUAUUUCCA
RNAcentral lists this transfer RNA (72 nucleotides) under Camelus bactrianus (Bactrian camel). It matches the Rfam family "tRNA". Rfam says of the family: Transfer RNA (tRNA) molecules are approximately 80 nucleotides in length. Their secondary structure includes four short double-helical elements and three loops (D, anti-codon, and T loops). Lineage: Eukaryota; Metazoa; Chordata; Mammalia; Artiodactyla; Camelidae. The record is from Rfam by way of RNAcentral. RNAcentral also lists the same sequence under 3 other names.